CUUACCUGGUCUUGACAUCCACAGAACCUGGCAGAGAUGCCGGGGUGCCUUCGGGAACUGUGAGACAGGUGCUGCAUGGCUGUCGUCAGCUCGUGUUGUGAAAUGUUGGGUUAAGUCCCGCAACGAGCGCAACCCUUAUCCUUUGUUGCCAGCGGUCCGGCCGGGAACUCAAAGGAGACUGCCAGUGAUAAACUGGAGGAAGGUGGGGAUGACGUCAAGUCAUCAUGGCCCUUACGACCAGGGCUACACACGUGCUACAAUGGCGCAUACAAAGAGAAGCGACCUCGCGAGAGCAAGCGGACCUCAUAAAGUGCGUCGUAGUCCGGAUUGGAGUCUGCAACUCGACUCCAUGAAGUCGGAAUCGCUAGUAAUCGGAAUCAGAAU
RNAcentral lists this ribosomal RNA (384 nucleotides) under Enterobacter sp. CAS39. RNAcentral describes it as "bacterial SSU rRNA". It matches the Rfam family "Bacterial small subunit ribosomal RNA", at positions 970 to 1355 of the family's 1533-position model. The record is from RNAcentral. Lineage: Bacteria; Pseudomonadati; Pseudomonadota; Gammaproteobacteria; Enterobacterales; Enterobacteriaceae.